UCUUAUCUCUAUGAAGAUAUUUGUUAAUGUCUUGGAACAUUUUCUUCUGCUCUCUGAACUAACUCUGUUUCCUUUGUUUUUUUUUUUCUAGUUAUCUGUAUUAGUCUGUCUCUCAUUUCAGGAGAGCUGUAACAUGCCAUUAUUGCAGGAAGAUGCACUGAAAAGCUGAGUAAAAACUUUUGUGUUGAUGUAUGGAAUUGCUAACUAUUGGGUUUUUACAAAGGUUGCUAUGUUGGCAAGACAACUUUUGCACUAAGGAAGUAUUCAAAUCUUUGUAUACAGAGGUCUUUUCUCUGAGGUCUUUAAUUUUACCAUAUAAAAAUCUUCUGGAUUCCUACAUGAAGGAUUUAAACCAGAUGCAAGCAUUCUGGAAAGAGGCCAAUGGAAGGAGGCUUUGAUUCCACUGUUCCAGAUGCUGAUUUUUAUUUUAUCUCUGUUUGCAGCUCUAUGUCUCCACUGUGCUUGAUGUCUCCAUGUCUAAAACCUAUCAGCUUCCAUUCCUUCUGAGAAUAAACCUCAUGAGUGUUAUGGAGUGGGGGAACAAUAGUCAUUAAUUUGUAAAGUAGGAGGAGAAAUUGGAUGUUUAAUUGCUAUGUAUACAGACUUUUAACCAUUUCCUCUGUUUUUAGUACUGCAUCACACUUUCACCUUCCAAAGUGCUUUGUACCUCCAAUUUCUAAAUCUUUCCCAGUUCUAUGGUGGAGAUGAUGGUUUAUUUCUUGGAGGAAUUCAAACUAUUGCUGCUUCUCCUCUUUCAGAGCUGGGGAUUGAAGUCAGAGCCUCAUGCAUGCAAGCAAUCUACCACUGAGAUACAUUCCCAGCCUCCAAGUAUUUUGUGGUGCCAGGUAUUGAACCAAGGGCAUCACAUAUAUAGUGGUAUAACAUGGAACAGCAUCCUCAGCCAAUUUUUAUAUUUAAACUAUUCUGAGUCUUGUGGAGAAAUGAAUUAAACAGACACCAUCAAAAGAAGAAAUACAAAUUGCCAACAGAUAUAUGAAAAACUUUUCAAAGUCUUUAUCCAUAAGGGAAAUGCAAAUGAAAACAUUCUGAAUGUCUACAGUCAGAAUGGCAAUUAACAAAUGUAAGUAACAAUAAAUGCUGACAAAGGAACUGUUAUACACUGUUGUUCAGAAUAUAAAAUUAGUAUAGCCACUAUGGAAAUCAGUAUGGAGGUUCCAUGAAAAACUGAAAAUGUAACUACCUUAUGACCCAGUUAUACCACUCCUUGGUAUUUAUCCAAAAGAAGUGGAGUGCUUUAGAGACAUACACAUUCCCAUGUUUAU
This is a non-coding RNA of Ictidomys tridecemlineatus (thirteen-lined ground squirrel), 1283 nucleotides long. NCBI's taxonomy places the organism in Eukaryota, Metazoa, Chordata, Mammalia, Rodentia, Sciuridae. The record is from RefSeq and is a predicted model, not a curated record.